CUGGAGGACAGGUGGCUGCAUGGCUGUCGUCAGCUCGUGUCGUGAGAUGUUGGGUUAAGUCCCGCAACGAGCGCAACCCUUGCCUUUAGUUGCCAGCAGUUCGGCUGGGCACUCUAAAGGGACUGCCGGUGUUAAACCGGAGGAAGGUGGGGAUGACGUCAAGUCCUCAUGGCCUUUAUGACCAGGGCUACACACGUACUACAAUGGCCGAUACAAAGGGCAGCGACACUGCGAGGUGAAGCCAAUCCCGUAAAAUCGGUCUCAGUCCGGAUUGGAGUCUGCAACUCGACUCCAUGAAGUUGGAAUCGCUAGUAAUCGUGGAUCAGCAUGCCACGGUGAAUACGUUCCCGGGCCUU
This 356-nucleotide ribosomal RNA is filed under the name uncultured Desulfobulbus sp. RNAcentral's name for it is "bacterial SSU rRNA". It matches the Rfam family "Bacterial small subunit ribosomal RNA", at positions 1027 to 1382 of the family's 1533-position model. Lineage: Bacteria; Pseudomonadati; Thermodesulfobacteriota; Desulfobulbia; Desulfobulbales; Desulfobulbaceae. The record is from RNAcentral.